ACUCCUACGGGAGGCAGCAGUGGGGAAUAUUGGACAAUGGGCGCAAGCCUGAUCCAGCCAUGCCGCGUGAGUGAUGAAGGCCCUAGGGUUGUAAAGCUCUUUCACCGGUGAAGAUAAUGACGGUAACCGGAGAAGAAGCCCCGGCUAACUUCGUGCCAGCAGCCGCGGUAAUACGAAGGGGGCUAGCGUUGUUCGGAUUUACUGGGCGUAAAGCGCACGUAGGCGGACUAUUAAGUCAGGCGUGAAAUCCCGGGGCUCAACCCCGGAACUGCCUUUGAUACUGGUAGUCUUGAGUUCGAGAGAGGUGAGUGGAAUUCCGAGUGUAGAGGUGAAAUUCGUAGAUAUUCGGAGGAACACCAGUGGCGAAGGCGGCUCACUGGCUCGAUACUGACGCUGAGGUGCGAAAGCGUGGGGAGCAAACAGGAUUAGAAACCCCGGUAGUCCCAUG
This 448-nucleotide ribosomal RNA is filed under the name uncultured organism. RNAcentral's name for it is "partial 16S ribosomal RNA". It matches the Rfam family "Bacterial small subunit ribosomal RNA", at positions 335 to 799 of the family's 1533-position model. The record is from RNAcentral.